RNAcentral lists this unclassified non-coding RNA (165 nucleotides) under uncultured fungus. RNAcentral describes it as "sequence contains ITS1, 5.8S rRNA gene". The record is from RNAcentral. Lineage: Eukaryota; Fungi.
CAAAUCUUUGUGAGCCUGUGUGCCGUGUCAUGUAAGCGGUACACAUAGUCUGUGUAUCGUGUCAUGUAAGCGAUGCGCAGAUACUCACUACAUUAGCACAGGGCCGCAAGGCUCUGAUGUUUACGCUUGUAUGUUUGACAGAGUUAGUUGAGAAAUAAAUAUAGA